RNAcentral lists this ribosomal RNA (554 nucleotides) under uncultured euryarchaeote. RNAcentral describes it as "bacterial SSU rRNA". It matches the Rfam family "Archaeal small subunit ribosomal RNA", at positions 325 to 879 of the family's 1478-position model. The record is from RNAcentral. Lineage: Archaea; Methanobacteriati; Methanobacteriota.
ACGGGGUGCAGCAGGCGCGAACACUUUACAAUGCGGGAAACCGCGAUAAGGGAACCCCGAGUGCCAGCAUCAAAUGUUGGCUGUCCAGAUGAUUAAAAAUCAUUUGUUAGCAAGGGCCGGGCAAGACCGGUGCCAGCCGCCGCGGUAACACCGGCGGCCCGAGUGGUAGCCGUUUUUAUUGGGUCUAAAGGGUCCGUAGCCGGCUUGAUAAGUCCUUUGGGAAAUCUGGCAGCUUAACUGUCAGGCUUCUAAGGGAUACUGUCAGGCUUGGGACCGGAAGAGGUAAGGGGUACUCCAGGGGUAGGAGUGAAAUCUUGUAAUCCCUGGGGGACCAUCUGUGGCGAAGGCGCCUUACCAGAACGGGUCCGACGGUGAGGGACGAAAGCUAGGGGAGCAAACCGGAUUAGAUACCCGGGUAGUCCUAGCUGUAAACGAUGCUCGCUAGGUGUCAGACACGGUGCGACCGUGUUUGGUGCCGCAGGGAAGCCGUUAAGCGAGCCACCUGGGAAAUACGGUCGCAAGGCUGAAACUUAAAGGAAUUGGCGGGGGAGCAC